AGUGAACGCUGGCGGUAGGCCUAACACAUGCAAGUCGAACGGCAGCACAGUAAGAGCUUGCUCUUACGGGUGGCGAGUGGCGGACGGGUGAGGAAUACAUCGGAAUCUACUUUUUCGUGGGGGAUAGCGUAGGGAAACUUACGCUAAUACCGCAUACGACCUACGGGUGAAAGCAGGGGAUCUUCGGACCUUGCGCGACUGAAUGAGCCGAUGUCGGAUUAGCUAGUUGGCGGGGUAAAGGCCCACCAAGGCGACGAUCCGUAGCUGGUCUGAGAGGAUGAUCAGCCACACUGGAACUGAGACACGGUCCAGACUCCUACGGGAGGCAGCAGUGGGGAAUAUUGGACAAUGGGCGCAAGCCUGAUCCAGCCAUACCGCGUGGGUGAAGAAGGCCUUCGGGUUGUAAAGCCCUUUUGUUGGGAAAGAAAAGCAGCAGGUUAAUACCCCGCUGUUCUGACGGUACCCAAAGAAUAAGCACCGGCUAACUUCGUG
Molecule: ribosomal RNA, 492 nt
Filed under: uncultured bacterium
Lineage: Bacteria
Description: partial 16S ribosomal RNA
Rfam family: Bacterial small subunit ribosomal RNA
Source: RNAcentral